CCCGCGCCGCGCGUGGGCCGUGCGGGAGGAGGCGGCGGGAGCGGGCAUUGUGCGGGCGGCUCCGGGCUGCCCCGGGGGCUGCUCGCAGCCUGGGAGCCGGGUCCGGCCCGUCCUCAACCGCCGGCAGCGGCACCCACAGCGGUUCUGAUACCGGCACCGCGAUCCACGCUGCUGGCGGCACCAGCAUCGGCAUCGCUCUUGACAUCAGCACGGACAUCGGCACCGGGUUGGGCACCGAGACCGGUACCUGGAUCAACAGUGGCAUCGCCCGUCUGUGUUGGGAUCAACGGCGACAUCAGCACCCGGGUCAGCACCGCCAUCGGUACCACCGUCGCCAUCGGUACCACCAUCCCCAUCCAUACCCACACCGACAUCGACACCGCCGCGCAGCCCAGAUCACCUUCUUUACAACUGCGACGUGGCAGAAGGGGGAAGUUACAGGAAGAAAUUCCUGUCCUCACGCUCCAUCCUCCUCUGGACACAUCCUGUGGACAGCAAUUAGAGGUCAUUAGCUGGUGGGGUAUCGGCGUGGCUGAUCUUUCCUACCUCAGCAUGGUCCAGCCCAGCUCUGUAGGGAUUUUCUGCCAUCGGUUCCUUUUGGGAUGCUAUGCUGCCCCAUAAUGCAAAGCACAGACAUGGGUACAUCGGGGUCUGCAGGUUGGGGGACACCUCUGCCUCAUGCAUGCACCAGGUUCACGUUGGCAGCAGUUGGGUUUGCCCUUCAGAUGCUCAGGGAAGCUCUGAGUUUGGAUGUCAGCGAGUGCAUGAGCCAGUCGCGCUGUUACCCUCGAGCAGGACUUGCUCUGAUUUGUGUUUUCAGCAUUAUAAGCAAAAGUGACAGUUUAUGCAAACAGCCCGGAAUCCUGUCUGGAGAGACUCAGGUUGGAUUUUUCCUGGUUUAAUGAGGGCAAUAACUACAGGCGAGCUUCGCUGUCAGCCCUGAGCAGCAAUCCUAGCAUGGAGCAGCAACGCUGCUUGCUCCUCUGCAAGACCGCAUCCCAUGAUUUCAGUAGAGAUCACCUGUGCUGGAUGUGAUGACAAGGGCUUAUAGGGUGACAGGAAUUACUGUGUAAAGCCAUUAGGCUAACAAGCAAAUCCACUGCUUGGUGACAAUGGGAACACACAUUUGCACUGAGGUGACAGAGCCAUGGGCUGGAGGCUGAGGGCUCUGGGCUGUGCCUGACCUUUAGGGGCUGGGCAUCAAUUUGAGGGGAUCUCACAGUAAAUCCCACGGCCAUUACUCCAUGCUUUGGAGCAGCACCAGAUCUCAACCCAAAAAACACUGGGGCCAACCUGCUGUCUGUGUGGGAGAUCUCCAGAUCGGUGUUUAAUUAUGACCAUCUGCUGCUGCAGGCUUCAAAUGCAUCUCAGUGGGUUUCAUCUCUGCUCAAAUCAGCCCCCUUGGGUUUUCCUCAAUGCUGGUUUUCUUGCCCAAGGCUCUCAUUCUCAUCUGAUAUGGGGCAGUUCGUUGUUCCCCAGCUCACAGCACUCAUUUGUAUUCAGCGUUACACUUCACGAGCACUUCCCCUUUUUUAAUUGUGCUCAUCAUCUCCUAAUAGUCUCAAUGCUGUGGGGUUGUGGGUGGAUUUUUGGAGACUGCAGCAUUUCCAGCCUUUAUUGG
RNAcentral lists this long non-coding RNA (1621 nucleotides) under Phasianus colchicus (ring-necked pheasant). RNAcentral describes it as "lncRNA (ENSPCLG00000006881.1)". Lineage: Eukaryota; Metazoa; Chordata; Aves; Galliformes; Phasianidae. The record is from RNAcentral.